Molecule: ribosomal RNA, 616 nt
Filed under: uncultured Legionella sp.
Lineage: Bacteria; Pseudomonadati; Pseudomonadota; Gammaproteobacteria; Legionellales; Legionellaceae
Description: bacterial SSU rRNA
Rfam family: Bacterial small subunit ribosomal RNA
Source: RNAcentral
UAGCUAGUUGGUGGGGUAAGGGCCUACCAAGGCGACGAUCGGUAGCUGGUCUGAGAGGAUGGCCAGCCACACUGGAACUGAGACACGGUCCAGACUCCUACGGGAGGCAGCAGUGGGGAAUAUUGGACAAUGGGGGCAACCCUGAUCCAGCAAUGCCGCGUGUGUGAAGAAGGCCUGAGGGUUGUAAAGCACUUUCAGUGGGGAGGAGGUUUUGUAGGUUAAGAGCUAGCAAGAUGGACGUUACCCACAGAAGAAGCACCGGCUAACUCCGUGCCAGCAGCCGCGGUAAUACGGAGGGUGCGAGCGUUAAUCGGAAUUACUGGGCGUAAAGGGUGCGUAGGUGGUAGAUUAAGUUAUGCGUAAAAUCCCUGGGCUUAACCUGGGCAGGUCAUAUAAAACUGGUUUACUCGAGUAUGGGAGAGGGUAGUGGAAUUUCCGGUGUAGCGGUGAAAUGCGUAGAGAUCGGAAGGAACACCAGUGGCGAAGGCGGCUACCUGGCCCAAUACUGACACUGAGGCACGAAAGCGUGGGGAGCAAACAGGAUUAGAUACCCUGGUAGUCCACGCUGUAAACGAUGUCAACUAGCUGUUGGCUAUAUGAAUAUAAUUAGUGGCGC